CAUGCAGUCGAGCGCACCUUCGGGUGAGCGGCGGACGGGUUAGUAGCGCGUGGGAACGUACCCUUUAGUAAGGAAUAGCCUCUGGAAACGGAUAGUAAUACCUUAUACGCCCUUCGGGGGAAAGAUUUAUCGCUAAAGGAUCGGCCCGCGUUAGAUUAGAUAGUUGGUGGGGUAACGGCCUACCAAGUCUACGAUCUAUAGCUGGUUUUAGAGGAUGAUCAGCAACACUGGGACUGAGACACGGACCAGACUCCUACGGGAGGGAGCAGUGGGGAAUCUUAGACAAUGGGCGCAAGCCUGAUCUAGCCAUGCCGCGUGAGUGACGAAGGCCCUAGGGUCGUAAAGCUCUUUCGCCAGGGAUGAUAAUGACAGUACCUGGUAAAGAAACCCCGGCUAACUCCGUGCCAGCAGCCGCGGUAAUACGGAGGGGGUUAGCGUUGUUCGGAAUUACUGGGCGUAAAGCGCGCGUAGGCGGAUUAGAAAGUUGGGGGUGAAAUCCCAGGGCUCAACCCUGGAACUGCCUCCAAAACUACUAGUCUAGAGUUCGAGAGAGGUGAGUGGAACUCCGAGUGUAGAGGUGAAAUUCGUAGAUAUUCGGAAGAACACCAGUGGCGAAAGCGGCUCACUGGCUCGAUACUGACGCUGAGGUGCGAAAGUGUGGGGAGCAAACAGGAUUAGAUACCCUGAUAGUCCACACCGUAAACGAUGAAUGCCAGUCGUCGGGUAGCAUGCUAUUCGGGGACACACCUAACGGAUUA
Molecule: ribosomal RNA, 758 nt
Filed under: uncultured bacterium
Lineage: Bacteria
Description: bacterial SSU rRNA
Rfam family: Bacterial small subunit ribosomal RNA
Source: RNAcentral